RNAcentral lists this ribosomal RNA (1344 nucleotides) under Staphylococcus aureus. Its description in RNAcentral is "partial 23S ribosomal RNA". It matches the Rfam family "Bacterial large subunit ribosomal RNA", at positions 513 to 1861 of the family's 2925-position model. Lineage: Bacteria; Bacillati; Bacillota; Bacilli; Caryophanales; Staphylococcaceae. The record is from RNAcentral.
GGUGAAAAGCACCCCGGAAGGGGAGUGAAAUAGAACCUGAAACCGUGUGCUUACAAGUAGUCAGAGCCCGUUAAUGGGUGAUGGCGUGCCUUUUGUAGAAUGAACCGGCGAGUUACGAUUUGAUGCAAGGUUAAGCAGUAAAUGUGGAGCCGUAGCGAAAGCGAGUCUGAAUAGGGCGUUUAGUAUUUGGUCGUAGACCCGAAACCAGGUGAUCUACCCUUGGUCAGGUUGAAGUUCAGGUAACACUGAAUGGAGGACCGAACCGACUUACGUUGAAAAGUGAGCGGAUGAACUGAGGGUAGCGGAGAAAUUCCAAUCGAACCUGGAGAUAGCUGGUUCUCUCCGAAAUAGCUUUAGGGCUAGCCUCAAGUGAUGAUUAUUGGAGGUAGAGCACUGUUUGGACGAGGGGCCCCUCUCGGGUUACCGAAUUCAGACAAACUCCGAAUGCCAAUUAAUUUAACUUGGGAGUCAGAACAUGGGUGAUAAGGUCCGUGUUCGAAAGGGAAACAGCCCAGACCACCAGCUAAGGUCCCAAAAUAUAUGUUAAGUGGAAAAGGAUGUGGCGUUGCCCAGACAACUAGGAUGUUGGCUUAGAAGCAGCCAUCAUUUAAAGAGUGCGUAAUAGCUCACUAGUCGAGUGACACUGCGCCGAAAAUGUACCGGGGCUAAACAUAUUACCGAAGCUGUGGAUUGUCCUUUGGACAAUGGUAGGAGAGCGUUCUAAGGGCGUUGAAGCAUGAUCGUAAGGACAUGUGGAGCGCUUAGAAGUGAGAAUGCCGGUGUGAGUAGCGAAAGACGGGUGAGAAUCCCGUCCACCGAUUGACUAAGGUUUCCAGAGGAAGGCUCGUCCGCUCUGGGUUAGUCGGGUCCUAAGCUGAGGCCGACAGGCGUAGGCGAUGGAUAACAGGUUGAUAUUCCUGUACCACCUAUAAUCGUUUUAAUCGAUGGGGGGACGCAGUAGGAUAGGCGAAGCGUGCGAUUGGAUUGCACGUCUAAGCAGUAAGGCUGAGUAUUAGGCAAAUCCGGUACUCAUUAAGGCUGAGCUGUGAUGGGGAGAAGACAUUGUGUCUUCGAGUCGUUGAUUUCACACUGCCGAGAAAAGCCUCUAGAUAGAAAAUAGGUGCCCGUACCGCAAACCGACACAGGUAGUCAAGAUGAGAAUUCUAAGGUGAGCGAGCGAACUCUCGUUAAGGAACUCGGCAAAAUGACCCCGUAACUUCGGGAGAAGGGGUGCUCUUUAGGGUUAACGCCCAGAAGAGCCGCAGUGAAUAGGCCCAAGCGACUGUUUAUCAAAAACACAGGUCUCUGCUAAACCGUAAGGUGAUGUAUAGGGGCUGACGCCUG